RNAcentral lists this transfer RNA (75 nucleotides) under Nanobdellota archaeon. RNAcentral describes it as "tRNA-Ile". It matches the Rfam family "tRNA". Rfam says of the family: Transfer RNA (tRNA) molecules are approximately 80 nucleotides in length. Their secondary structure includes four short double-helical elements and three loops (D, anti-codon, and T loops). Further hydrogen bonds mediate the characteristic L-shaped molecular structure. tRNAs have two regions of fundamental functional importance: the anti-codon, which is responsible for specific mRNA codon recognition, and the 3' end, to which the tRNAs corresponding amino acid is attached (by aminoacyl-tRNA synthetases). tRNAs cope with the degeneracy of the genetic code in two manners: having more than one tRNA (with a specific anti-codon) for a particular amino acid; and 'wobble' base-pairing, i.e. permitting non-standard base-pairing at the 3rd anti-codon position. RNAcentral also lists the same sequence under 1 other name. Lineage: Archaea; Nanobdellati; Nanobdellota. The record is from RNAcentral.
GGGCCCGUGGCUUAACCUGGUUAUAGCUCUGCUCUGAUAAGGCAGAGGUUCUGUGUUCAAAUCACAGCGGGCCCA